This 253-nucleotide ribosomal RNA is filed under the name uncultured bacterium. RNAcentral describes it as "partial 16S ribosomal RNA". It matches the Rfam family "Bacterial small subunit ribosomal RNA", at positions 524 to 776 of the family's 1533-position model. The record is from RNAcentral.
UACGGAGGGUGCAAGCGUUAUCCGGAUUCACUGGGUUUAAAGGGUGCGUAGGUGGGCAGGUAAGUCAGUGGUGAAAUCUCCGGGCUUAACCCGGAAACUGCCAUUGAUACUAUCUGUCUUGAAUACCGUGGAGGUGAGCGGAAUAUGUCAUGUAGCGGUGAAAUGCUUAGAUAUGACAUAGAACACCAAUUGCGAAGGCAGCUCACUACACGUAUAUUGACACUGAGGCACGAAAGCGUGGGGAUCAAACAGG